Molecule: long non-coding RNA, 1045 nt
Organism: Drosophila albomicans
Lineage: Eukaryota; Metazoa; Arthropoda; Insecta; Diptera; Drosophilidae
Exons: 2
Source: RefSeq, a predicted model, not a curated record
UUAAUAUUUGAAAAUUACAAAAUAAAUUUUUUCUAGUAAGGAUUAUACACAUGUUAUAAACAAUAACUCUUAAGAUUAAGAAUUUUACGUGUAUAAAAAUUAAUCGAAUAUAUUUAAAAAUUCUCGUUGCAACUAAGUUUCAAUCCGACAUACAAAGUAUAUAUAAAGCACAGCUAGUUAUUGAUUUGUAAUAUCAAUAAAUGUCCGCUAUAGAACAAAAUGUCAGUAAAUACUACAAAUAUACUCAUAAGUUAAGUACAUAUGUCAACAUAUCAACCAGUCCUAUGCAUAGUGAUAUCUCUCUUUUGUUGAAUAAAAUUCCAACUGACGUGGUGCUUAAAUUGCUUUAAAUAUUAUUGUAAUCGGGCAUCAAUUUAUAUUCUAAAUAAAGGAGGAAUGGUAUUUCAAAGUUUAAACAUAUAAAAAACCUACAUGUAGUAAACAAAUAUAUUAGGAAAAUUAAAGCAUGUCAAGUUAUUUUAACCAGUCGUAAUUGAAUUCGUUUAGCUUUUUAUAUACGUAUGUAUGUACGUAGUACAUGCACAUAUAUAAAGGAGCAGCAGAACACCACUUUAAAUAUUAAGCAAAAUGAACUUUACGUGGGGACUACUUUUGAUUAUUGGCGCUGCCUUGGCAGGAAAUCCAUUGGACGAGUGGCUGGCACCAAGUGACAUCCAAGAAUGAGAUGAAUAAUAAAAAAAAUUUUAAAAAUAUGUAAAUCUCAAAAUAUACAACUUAAAGAACAUUACAUUAACUGUAUUUUAUUUAAUAAUAAUACAAUUAAGAAAGAUACCCGCUACCAUUUUGAAUAAAAGCUAAAAAGCGUGGUUUUAACAUACGAAUGUAGUAUGUGCUUAUAUAGAAGAGCCGCAGAACACAACUUUAAAUAUUAAGCAAGAUGAACUUUACUUGGGGACUACUUUUGAUUAUUGGCGCUGCCUUGGCAGGAACAACCGCCAAUUGGAUAGCACCAAGUGACAUUAAAGAAUGAUUGUUAUAUAUAUAAAAUGAAUAGUUUCCAAAAUAAAGAGCCUACAAAACAUUA